RNAcentral lists this microRNA precursor (74 nucleotides) under Bombyx mori (domestic silkworm). Its description in RNAcentral is "mir-2807 microRNA precursor family". It matches the Rfam family "mir-2807 microRNA precursor family". The record is from Rfam by way of RNAcentral. Lineage: Eukaryota; Metazoa; Arthropoda; Insecta; Lepidoptera; Bombycidae.
UUAACUCAAAUUUGUAUGAAGUUCGCAAGUUUGCCGCUAGGGGCGCUGUUCCAACUGCAUACAAAUUUGACUUA